AACGAACGCUGGCGGCGUGGAUAAGACAUGCAAGUCGAACGCUGACUUCAGGGUAGCAAUAUUCUGGAGUCGGAGUGGCGCAAGGGUGCGUAACACGUGGGUAAUUUGCCGCGAAGUCUGGGAUAACUUGCUGAAAGGCGAGCUAAUACCGGAUGGGGUUGGGUGGUGGCAUCAUCGGCCAACCAAAGUUGGGGACCCGCAAGGGCCUGACGCUUCGCGAUAAGCCCGCGGCCAUCAGCUAGUUGGUGAGGUAACGGCUCACCAAGGCUAAGACGGGUAGCUGGUCUGAGAGGACGACCAGCCACACUGGAACUGAGAGACGGUCCAGACACCUACGGGUGGCAGCAGUCGAGAAUUUUUCACAAUGGGCGCAAGCCUGAUGGAGCGACGCCGCGUGGGGGAUGAAGGGCUUCGGCUCGUAAACCCCUGUCAUUUGCGAACAAACCCUC
RNAcentral lists this ribosomal RNA (449 nucleotides) under uncultured bacterium. RNAcentral describes it as "bacterial SSU rRNA". It matches the Rfam family "Bacterial small subunit ribosomal RNA", at positions 29 to 455 of the family's 1533-position model. The record is from RNAcentral.